AGAGAAUCUUAAGCAGGCUGGACAUAGGGCUCAAUCUCAUGACCCUGCGAUCAUGACCUGAGCUGAAAUCAACAGUCAGAUACUCAACCGACUGAGCCACCCAGGUGCCCCAGAACUUGCCUUUUUACAAGCUGCCUGGUACAGUCCAGACUGUGCAUGCAGCCUAGAUGCUCUACAUACAUAUGCUUCUUUCAUCACAACAGUCUUGACAGAGGGAUAGUCCAAUCUCCGUUUUUUAUAAGAGUGAAAACCCAACACUUAAAGAGGUUAAAUAACAGACCCAAGUCACCUCACUCGGACAUGGCAGGGCCACAAUGAUAGCCUCUUUCCUUUGUCAAUAAGCCCACAGGUUUUCAGCCCUGCUCCUUGUUGGUACUGAGCUGUGAGGAUAGUGAGUGAUACACCUGCCUUCAGGGAGAGGACACUCUCAUUGAGAAUUAGAAGGGCACACAGCUCCUGAGAAAGGACUGUGGGCAGAGAUAGGAGGGCAUGUACCAAGCACAGUGGCGCCACCAUUGAGAGAAUAGUUUGGGGACUGGGGAAAGACGUCACCUACAUCAUAAGAUAAAUUGGUUUUGUGCAUUGGUUAGAGUAUCUCCACGAAGGAAGAGGGGAAUGGGACAUUUCAGGCAGGAAAACAGAAUGGGCCAAAGUCAUGAGACAUGAAACAGUAUGGCGUGUUCUUUAGACUUCAGGGGGUUCCCUGUGGCUGGAAAAUUAGUACAAAGAAUGGAGCAUGGGAGGAUGGGUUGGAAAUGUGAUGGAAGAUUGAAAAGUAGGCAGGAGCUAGGUCAUGGUGGGGGCUGGCAUUGGCAUUCCAUGCUGUGGAGUUUGGGUUUAUUCAGAAGAUAGUGAGAAUCCAUUGACUGUCUCUAAAAAGAUUGACCAAGUCAGACCAGUCAGUUCCCAGUAUGAAAAGGUGAUGUGCUGUAGUGGGGGAAUGAAUUGGAUGGUAUAAAACCAAAAGCAAAAUCCAAUUAGGUGGCCAUGUCAGUAAUCCAAGUAAGAAAUGAUCAUUGCCUGGACAAAGGUAGUGGUGGGAUGCAAUGACAGAAUCAAUUAGAAAUGGAUGGAUGUCCAGAUACAGUGUGAUACAAGAGAGAGAUUUGUAGAUGACUCUUGUUUCACAAUUUAGCAGAUUGGGUGUGAAUACAAGAGGAAGCAUAGUGCUGGGUGAGAAAAUGAGUUCAACUCUUCUACGUGUGAUAUGGUCGUGCUAGUGUCAGUACCGGAGGUUGAUGUUUUAAUGGUAGCAGAUGCUUCCUCAUAAUAUACUGCAUUUAUGCUCCACUGUGGUAGAGGUCCUGUUUGUCUGCUCAGCAUCCAUGUCCCCCUUCCAUAAACAUCGGCAGAAUGUCUUUUUCUUUUGAAAACCUUGCGUCUUCUUGUCUUAAUUGAUUUUCAGGGGUGGUAAUUCAUCCCUGGCUGCAAAGUAAGGGCAUGAGCCAGUUCUGGUCAGCGUCAGGACCCCAGCCAUCUCCCUGGCUCUAGUGAUUGAUUGGUUCAGGGUGGUUAUGUGCCCCAUGCUGAACCAAUCAGAACAUGAGGCCAAGGAUUUUUUCUGGAACUUCUGGAAAAGAUUUUCCACUCCAGUCGCUAAACUAUGAGGAGAUGAGACUGGAACUUCCAUCAGUCAUUUUGCCACUGUGUCAGGGGCUCCUUGAGACCUCCCCUAGAUUCUGUGAUUUCCUAGGAUGACUUACAGGACUCAGCGUGAGUCAUACUCAUGGCUAUGACUAACUUUAGCAGAAAAGAUAAAGCAAAAUCAGCAAAGGAAAAGGUACAUGGGUGAAGUCCAGGAGUAACUAGGCUCAGGCUUCCAGAGUCCUUUCCUAGUGCCAUCAUCCAGGUCACACUUCAUUCCUCUAGCAAUGAGUUGUGGUGACAUUAGUGAAAUGCUCUUCACCAGGAAAACUCAUUAGAAAUUUAGCACCUGGGAUCUUUACUGGGGGCUUGUCAUGUAGGCACCUUCUACUAGCCCAUACCAAAAUACCAGACUCCCAGAAGGAAAGCAGGUGUUCAUAAUAAACCAUAAUGUUUGCACAGUUUAGACAAUGGGCAAUUCUUACCAGGGAAGAGCGGGAACCUUCCUGGAACCCAGGUUCACAGGUGCCAGCCAAGGCCUAACUUGGCAAGCAGGCCUUUUAAAAGAGAAAAGUAUCGGGCCGGCUGUGGUGCCUCUUUCCUGCACAGCUUUUCUGUCUGAGAGUUAAAGCGGAUCUGAGAGCCUGAAAAGAGAGACCGAUUCCAGAUUACAUUGUAUUAUAGUCCCUAGUUCCAGCCAUGCCUGAAGCAGAUUUUCCUUUUUUAAUUUCUUAGGUCAAUUUAAAUUUCUGUCACUUACAGUCUUAAGAAGCACACUGGCCAAUAAAACCUGUUCUACCUAAAAUGUUCUUUUUUAACUUCUUUACCACAUAUCCCCAUCACUGUUCCUUGUCUCAAAUGGGGUCUUCCUCGGUGACCAGGACUAGCCUAUAAUAGACAUGGUAAAUUUUUGGCACAUGAACAGAUUUUCUUCAGUUUUUUAGAGGAGUAUUCUGUCUAGAUUGAAAAGGUAGAUUUUGGAGCCGAUUUAUCCUCAAAUGUGACCUAAAUUAAAAGUUUGACCUAACUGAAUAUCUCCUUGAUCUUCCCUUUUACAAAUUACUCUUUCCUGAGAAAUUGGCCAUAGCUUCUAGUAAGUAGUGCCUCCCGCUUGGGCUCUGUCCUGGGCAUUCUUCCUUGUUUGGCCUAAUUAACUAUGUCAUCAUUCAAGCAGAUUAGGUGUGUGCCUUCCUGGGACAUCAAUUAAAAAAUAAAUCAGUGUUUGUCAAAGUGGAAAGGUGACACGUUGAAAGAUGCAUUUUCUUUCCAGUCUUGUAUGGAAGCAGUAGAAAACAAAGGAAGUGUUGUAGUGGCUUUGCUGGCAUGCUCACAUGGAGGAAAUAGGGACUGGAAGGAUGUUAAGAGAUUGUGAGCUAGUUUAGUGCUUUCUGUCGCAAAGGUAAGGAGAGGUCCAGAAGGUCUUUAAUUUGUAAGAUGCAGUUGCAGGAGAACUUAACUUAGGUACAGGUCUCUGUUUUGUCAUUACUACUGGCCUUAGGCAGGUCACUCUACCUUUCUGACCCAAGGAUAAUUCUUUGAUAAGUAUUUAUUGAGUACCUCAUGCAGAAAUGAAUCUGUAAAAUGAAUGAGUUUGCCUGGACAAUCUCAAUGCCCCUUUCAGGUCUGCGAAUCUUAACACAAAUUCACAUGGCUAGAGGCAAAGCCAGAAUCACAGAAAACAUGAGUCCUUUUCAUGCCUCCCUUGACCCCACAUUUAUCUACCAGCAAGUCCUGUGAGACCACCUUCAAGGUGUAUCCCAAUCCAAGCCUAGGAGAUGCUAAAAAAUUAGUUAUUGAAUAAACAGAAUUAGGUCUUCAGCUUCUGUGGCUCCUUGGAUUCUAGAAUAAUGUUUGUUUGUUUGUUUGGUUGGUUGGUUGGUUGGUUGGUUGGUUUUCCCCUGUCUGCUCCUAUAAAGUAGGAAAUCAUCUGCCCUGGAGUCUCCAAGGGGACCUGAAGCAGUGAGUUUCAAGGCAGGCAUGAAACACAGUUUAAGACAGGAGUGGAGAUCCAGUGAGGAGAAUGAAGUCAGCCCCAAAGUAGGGUUCCCAUGAGGAUCUAGAACUUCUACAGUGAAUGGUGACUAGCUGGCUUGGCUCAGUCCAGCGAGAAGCUCCUGACAGUGGGCUUCCAAACCCACACCAGGUUCUGGCCUCUGUCUUGGAGAGAGGUGUGGAAGCACCAAUGAUGGGAGGUGGGCUUUGAAUACCUGUUGAUGCUUCUCCAUUGCGGCAUAUGCUAGGUGCCCAUCCCUAUAGCAUUUGUUCCUCUGACUUAGGUUUUUAGAGGCACACUGAUGCCCAUGACUUCGGCUCUACGUUUUUGUUUUGUUUUGUUGUUGUUUUUGCUUUCACAUUUUGAGGAAGAAAAUAUGUUUUCUUUGUAAAACAGUAAGAAGAGAAGUCUAGUCAGGACAGGGUGCAGGCAGCAUAAAGACGCCCUCUGGGCAUUAUUGUAAUAGUGAAAGAGCUUCAUCUCCAGAGGCAAAAACAAGAAUUUACUAGAUCCUUUCGCAAACAGACUGCUCUGUCGUGGGCAUCAUUAAGGUUCACUACACUGAUCCAUUUUAUAUGUAUGUGUCAUGAAUAAAACAAUGCACGUCCGUAUCAGCACAAAGAAAAUAAAACUCCUCCUGUGUUUCUACUACCUAGAGUUCAGUGUUAACAUUAUAGUAUAUUUCCUUUCAGACACUUUUCCAUGCACAUAAAAUUGUUUAUUUUUUGUAUAAAAUUAGGAUCCUGUUGUAAUACUGUUUGCACAUUAUUGUGUUUUCUCCUUAACUACACGUUGCGGCCGUUUUCCAGUGUGAUGUGCCAUGUUGUUUUUUAUGCUUCCUCAUAUCCUGUGGUAUGGCUGUGUUAUUAUUUGCCAAUCCAGGCCUUCUGUUUUAGAUUCUUGGGCCAUUUCCAAUGGUUUUUGGUAUUCUCAAGAAGAGCAGAAUGCUCACCCUGUCUUUGGAGUCCUGAGGCUGCUGACAUAUGAAGCUCACUUAGCCUCAUGCUACAAUGUCAUGGCUGCAGAGAGUCAGAUAACCCUGUGUUCAAGUCCCAGCCCUGGCUGUGUGAUCUUGGAUGAGCCAGUUAACAUCUCUCUGUUAUACAUUCCUGCUACGAAAACCAAGUACUUUCUCCCCAGUUCACAGGGGCUGACCUGAGGGUUGAACCCAGUCAUGUACCUCUCUGUUCCCUUCCCUUCUCCUAAAUGUAGUGUUCUUCAACACUGGCUUCAAGUUGGAAUCAGCUGGGAGCUUUCUAAGAAGAGCAGUGCCCAGACCUACUCUCUACCAACCAAGUCAGAAUCUCUGGUCUGGGCUCUGGAUACAGCAUGUUGACAAGCCCCUUCUAUAAGUCUCCUGUGCCCCCAAGGUUGAGACUCCCUGCUCGAAAGUUUCGGCCCCGGGGUCUGCUGGCUGCUGUUGCAAAAGAGACAUUGUGUCGUGGCUGUUUUGUCGUGGGGUGGUGAGGCAGGGUAGUGUUUGGAGACAGGAUUAGAAUCCUGGCACUCAUGCCUCCCAGGGAAAAGUGCCAACCUGUUUAUUUUGUGUCAAGAGCUCAAACAGUGAUCAAAAUCCAAUCCGACAUCAUAAAUACCAGAAAAGGUCAGGACUGGGCUUGCUCGUAGGAUCGAGCGCACACAGCCGAGCUGGGCUUGGCGCUUGGUCAACUCCAAACUUUGAGCUGGCACACAGCGCCGGGGGGACUUGGCAGGGCCCAGGCAUACGGCGCCCCAGCCACAGAAUGGAGGUUCACGUGGCUCUGUUGCUUUUGCCGAAGGAGGAGAAAUGCUAUUUUCUCAGCAGUUGUUCUUCUUGACUCAUUAGUGUACUUGGCAUGUGGUUAUUUUUUAACUUCUUUGCAAAUAUUCGUAGAAAGAGAAGGGGAGUGGAAGGCGGGAGAUGUUGGUGUUUACUGAGCUUGUAUUUUGUGCAGGCCCUCCCAGGAUUGAAGGGGUGCCCCCCUCACACUGGGCCCACUUCCCUAGUGCAGCCGACGCACCUGAGGUCACCACCUGGCCAGCAAGUGGCUGAGGUGGGAAUUUUAUCUGAGGUCAGCAUAACUUCAAAGCCUGUGACCUGUUCCUCAGGAUUCCACAUCUUAGGAGUUCAGGGGGUUUAAUUAGACCAUUUCUGGCUCAUCCUAUCUUGAUUGUGACAAUCAGAAGGAAAUCCCACUGUAAACUAUUAAAAGGUUUUCCAUGUAAGUUUGUCAGGACAGCCUAGGGAAUAGAACAAGACAUACCUUUGUGGGUGACUUUCCCCAUGGGGCUCACGUGGGAACCCCACUGGCUCCUUUACUAAAAGGACAUCCCGUUUCUCAGGAACGGCAGUGGACUGAAUGUCAAGUGCAGACGCCCAUGGGCUUGGGGAGUUUACCUGUCGGGCCCUUUAUUAACAGAGCUGACAGGAAUCCAUUACCCAGCCUUUCUUGCUCCUUGUAUCUAAGUAUAGAUGUAGGAGCAUCAGUACUUUUUAUACCUUUUUGACUAUAUCCUACAGUAAUAAAUAUAUCUUACAUCGCAAUCUAAAGGAAAAUGCGUGUAUGUGUCUAUAUAUGUAUACACAUACACAUUAUACAGACACAGCUGUGUAACUAAAACACAGUGUCUUCAUAAAACAAUACCUUACUAAUGUUCAGCGAAUUUUUAUACUUCUGAUCGAUCUAAAGGAUUUUAAUUUUUAAAAUGCUUGUCGAAACCCACUAAGUUAUUUUCACACCCCCCUAAUGUGUGGCACACCCUAGUUUCAAAAACAUUGGACUGGAAAUUCUCUUAAGAUGGCUUUUUUUUUUUUUUCAACGUUUAUUUAUUUUUGGGACAGAGAGAGACAGAGCAUGAACGGGGGAGGGGCAGAGAGAGAGGGAGACACAGAAUCAGAAACAGGCUCCAGGCUCUGAGCCAUCAGCCCAGAGCCCGACGCGGGGCUCGAACUCCCGGACCGCGAGAUGGUGACCUGGCUGAAGUCGGACGCUUAACCGACUGCGCCACCCAGGCGCCCCGUAAGAUGGCUUUUAACUCUGUUUUGAGCAUUCUAAAAUUCAGCAAAGCUGCCAGUAAUCAGAGAGGAGAUCAUAAACUCAUUUUCUAGAAUGCAUGAGCUGGAAGAGGCCACGGGGAUCUCAUUUAGUCUGUUCCCCCUCUUGUCUGGCCGACCUCCACUUCAGUGAGCUAACGUGUGGGGUGGCAUCCAGCACGGUGGCUGGCACAUGGUGGGGGACCCCAUACAUCUCAUUGUCCUUUCUUCCCAGGCGGGUGUCGGGUUUUAUUCAUCUCUCUCUUCCUAGCUGCUAGUGUAAUGCUCAGCACUGAACUCAGUAAAUCGAUGGGGAAUAAUCUUAAAAAAAAAAAAAAAAAAAAAAAAGGUGGCUCGGUUCUUUUUUCUCAUUAACCUUUGGGGAAGAUGGCUCAAUCCGCUUGGAUGAUGCAAUUCAUUUGCUUUUGGUUUUGUUUUUAACUAACUGCAAUUCAGGAGCACGUACUCAGUGCCUACUGUGUGCCUAGUAAUGGUGGACAUGGAAGAUAUCAUAUGGUGAGUGCACAAGAAAGGGAAGGCAUCCUCGUUCUUAAGGAACUCCUGUAUAAGUGAAGAGGAAGGGGGAGGAGAAGCAGCCGUCAAGUAAUGUGGUCCUUGCUCGUGCAGGGAGUUUACCAAAGUGCUGUGUGGACAUGGAAGAUGGAGAACCAGUUCUGGUCGGGAGUGGCAGGGGCAAACACACAAGGGAAAUACUCGAUCUGGGCUUUGAAGGUUAGUAGGAAUUUGUAGGGGCCAAGCAGAUGGUAAUUCCAGGCAAAAGGAACCUCUUAGAAAUGGCAAAAAGGAGUGGUCCCGCGGGGUAGAUUUGGGGGACAUUAAUUGUGGCUAGGGCUUAAGCUCCGGGCUCAUGGGGCAGCUGGCAUACACAGCAGGUGGUUAAACACUCGGCCUUGAGGCACAAAACACAGGUCUGAAUUUCAGGCCCUUCUUUCUACCUGUGGUAGGCUGAAUAAUGCCCACAAAGAUACCUUCGUCCCGAUACCCGGAACUUGUGGAAAUGAAACUAUAUGGCAAAAGGGACUUUGCAGAUGUGGUUAAGCUAAGGGUAUUGAGAUGGAGAGGUUAUCUUGGAAGAUAAUGGGUGAGCUAAAAAUGUAAGGAGUGUCUGUGAUAUAAUAGAAAAUAUAUAUAUUUGGUCUUUGUCCCCAGUUGCUGACACAGAACUCCUAAAGUUUUUGGAAUUUCCUGGGUAAUACGAAUGUCUUUUACUCUAUUGAGGCUACUCUUAAUGAGCCCCUAGAUAGCUUUAGGAUGGGGCUGGUAGCCAGAAAGACCCAAGGCAUGGUUACAGCAUUGAAAUCUUCAGCCCCCUUCCCCUGCAGGCCCCCUACAUCCAGAAGGGUAAGGGGGUGGAGGCUGAGUUAAUCACCAGCGUGUCAUUUAAUCGAUCAUGCCUAUGUGACAAAACCUCCAUCAAACCCUGGGAGUUGAUGGGCUUCCAGGUUGGUGGGCACCUGGAGAUGCCGGAAGGGUAACACACCCAGAGAUGACGUGGACGCUCUUAUGCCCCUGCCCACGCAUCUUGCCCUAUGCAUCUCUCCCGUUUGGUCAUUCAUGAGUUAAACCUUUUAUAAUAAGCAGGUGGUAAGAAAGUAAAAUGCUUUCCUGAGUUCCGUGAGUCAUUCUAGCAGGUGAUUGAACUUGAACAGUGAGGGUUGUGGGAACCCUCGACUUUGUAGCCAUUUUGGACAGAAGUGUGAGUAACUUGGGGACCCAGUACUUGGGACUUGUGUCUGAAGUGGGGCAGUCUUGUGGGACUCAGCCCUUAACGCUGUGGGUCUGUGCUGACUCCAGGUAGUUAGUGUCAGAAUCGAACUGAGCUGUAGGAUGGUUGGUAUCUGGAGAGUUGGCUGGUGUGAGGAAAGGUCCUACAUAUCUGGUGUCAGAGGCGUUAGGAGUAGAAACAGCGGAGAGGGUCCUUCCAGGAAGAGACAGGGUGAUCUGACUGUGGAGAGAAAGGAUGUGAUACAGAAGCAGGGACUGGAGUAAUGGCUCUGAAGCCAGAGGCAGUGGCCACCAGCCAAGGAACGUGGGCUCCCUGGUAGCUGUAAAGGACAAGGAAUCCGAUUCUGCUCCCAGAGUCUCCAGAAGAGAGCAACCCUGCCGACUCCUUGAUGGUCGCCUAGUCAGAUUCCGUGCUUCCCUCCAGAACCGUGAGGUAAUACAUUUAGCUUCAAGCUACUAAGUUUGUGGUGAUUGUUACAGCAAUUAGGAAACUAAUGCAGUGUCUAGAUGGCCUUUGGGAUUUACUUCUUUAAGCCGCGUGUGUAAAAGUGGGAGUAAAUGGGAAUAAUCAUGCUGACAGCAGCAACCUCACGCUGUGUUUUGGUGAGGACACGGGGAUUAGCCAGCUCCCUGGCAUGUAGGCAAGAUUUAUUUGUGGAAGUAGAUAAAAAUAAGAGACCUCAUCACAGAUCAGAAUGACUUUUUGCUACCAUGCUUGUUGGCUUGUCUUUGUUUCUAGCGAAGCACCAAGCACUGAGGCGAAGGGACCAUAUCUGUUGGGUUUAUCCCUGUCUCCCCAGCGUUUGGCACGGCCCUGGCAUGUUUUGCAUUCUGGAAUUAAUUGAUAAACGAUUGGAUGCAUGCUCUGUUGUAUUUAGAGGUUCCAGAUCAGAGAGGGGAAAUGCACAGCACAGAAGGCCGUUAACAGAGGGAGAGGCAGCAGGUAAGGAGACCAGUGUGGGCCCCACAGUAAUCCAGGUGAGAAGGGGUUUUUCCUGUCUGGCUAACAUCCCUCCUGUCAUACUUUUAUGCUCAUGCCCUUUAAUUCUGUUCGCAGAGCAAGAGAACAGCUGCACACUGUCCUCAAAUGGUCUCUUCCCUACCAUUAAUUUGUUCUUCAGCCUUCUCUUCCCAAGCAAAAUGACCCAAAUUAUUUUGGCUUUCCCUUAUUCAUAGGACAGCGUUGUGAGGCCUUGCAGAUGUUGCAGAUGAUGGUCCAGAGGAUAGAUUUGGUUUGCACACGUGUUUUAAGGGAUCCACACAUACUUUUUUUUUUUUUUAAUGAGAAUUAUAAAACAUGGCAGAUUGAACACAUGUGUUUAUUUCUGGACCCUCCCAAAGUCUACUAAAAUGGAAGGAAAGGAAUAAAAAAUGACACAAGUUCACAAGAACAGAGAUAACAAGAGAGGAGAACGGACAAGGGCAUCAGUAACUGUGGGAUCUAGAAGGCAGAUGGGGGGCACUGCACCCCCAUAGCUCUGACGCCACCCACCCCCUUCACGCACACAUGGGGUUGGGACUGGACGCUGGAGUGAAUGUCGGGAGAUUGCCUCCAAGUCUGUGUCCUGGACAGAGAAGACCCCUCAGUCUCCUCCUCUACCCAGAGCUCAGAAUAUGUGUGGCAGGUUUCCUGUCCUUCUAGACAAGAAAUUGUUUGAUGUCUGUGGGGAAAGGUCCCAGCCCAAGAGUCUGGCACUGACGUUUAGGACAGCCCGUGUGCUCACUUGAGGUCAUUUUAAGUUUCUACUCUCAGCUUCAAACCCAGCCUCGUGUGCUCUGCUCUGCAAUGCUGGGGCUGGGACUCUGCUAACAUUUUAGUCCUGCCCUUGGCUCCUGUGAGGUUCUAUGAAUAGGGCACUAGAGGAAAACUAAGGCUGGAGAGAAGAAGGGGCUUGCUCCUGCUUAUCGACAGUCUGUUUUUUGCAGGACUUCCUCACCUGGGCGUGCAGUUCAUUCCAACUUUAGUCUAUCCCCUCCCAACACCCACAUUGUGGUGUCUCCUUCUCAGGGGCCUGGGCCCCAGGUCUGAGGGGGGGGCCUCCCUUCCUAGCUCCUAAACUCUAGUAAUCCUAAUUCCUCACUUCCCUUUGUUGUGCUGGCUCUCUGAAUGGCACUUGUCACAGGUGCUAUUUAUGUGACAUUUCAGUAUUUUCCUUUUGGCUUUUCCAGCCCCCCCAUACCUAGCUAGCAACCCUUUACUAAGGUUCCUCUGGGUGGGGUUCCUCUUCCUUGACUGGACCCUGACUAAUGGACCUAAUAAGAGACCAAUACUUGUUUCAUCACCCUUUAGUGAAGGCCAACAGCCAGGAAGUCCACCCACAUGAGAUACUGGUCAAAGGGCACAAACGUCCAGUUACAAGAUUAAGAAGUUUGGGGAAUCUAAUGUACUGCAUGGUGAUUCUAGCUCAUCAUACUGUAUCAUACUUGAACAGUGCUAAGAAGGUAGAUCUUAAAUGUUCUCACCGCAAACAAAGAAAUAGUAAUUAUGUGAUGGGAUAGAGUUGGUAGCUGAUACUCUGGUGAUAGUCAUUUUGCGAUUUAUAGGCGUAUCCAGUCAACACCCUGUGCACCUUAAACUUGAUGGUGCAUGUCUGUUAUAUCUCUGUAAAGCUGGGGGGGACAUUUAAAAAAAAUUUUUUUUAAUUAAAAAAAAGUUUUAAAAAGCUUACCCGUGAACUCAAAGCUGCCAAGCCAUUUUUAGUGUCUCAUUCAUAUCUACUGUGAAGAGUCAGUACACAUCAGAGGAAAAUCUCUAAUAUAAAAGCCAGAGGUCCAUUUUGACAGAUGAAUGAAAGGAAUACCUAAGAAACAGAGAUGAGGGAGAAGAGGAGCACUCAGGUAACUUUUGGUCUUAAGAAAGUUAGUAAAUGGCUCUGGGCUUCUGUGUUCUUGUAAAGAAUAUGGGGAUGACAGUACUUAGUCUCUCAGGAAAUUGUUGGGAGCUUAAAUCCUGUAACACCAACAUCUAGCAUAGCUCUUGACACAGGAUGACGUAAACAUUUUGUUAAUAAUAAUAAUAAGUAGUAGUAGUAGUCAGAAAAAUUCUUGGCUUCAUGUCCCUGUUGAAUGGGGAGCCUCGCCACCUAGGUUCUUUCAAAUGACUUUGGGCUAAUGAGAAGAAAACACAAACUAACAACUUAUUGAACACCAAGUGUCAGUCUCUGGGAUAACUCUACAUUAUCCUGCUUAUUGCUGGUAAAAGUCCACGAAGUCUGGGUGUUUUACACCCACUACAUUAGGAAACCGGGGUGCGGAGAGUACUGCCUGAUUUUAAAGCUCCUGUCAGCCUCUUAAAGGGGACUGCAUGCCCAGAGAGAAAGCCUGCCGUGAAGUUUCGAAGGGGCCACAUGGGCAGACAGCCUCUUAUUCUGACUAAUUUAAAACCAGGAAGGUGUUCCGAAUAGGACACAGCUGAUAAGAAUAAUCCCAAGUGAGGGCUCGUUCCUUCAGGCAUGGACAGGGCCACCCAGCAGCUGACGAUGUUAAUAAAAUUGUCAGGCAGCUAUUAGAAUAACUUAAAAUUAUCCAGAUUUUUAUAGCUACCUAAAAAGGCCAAACGGCUCUUGUCUUUGCCCAUAAAAUGAACAUCUGUUAGCUCCUAAAAGACUAGUAUCCGUGCUCAGUGGCUGGACCUCAGUCCCUCUCUCUUCCUGGGAUGCUCAAUUAUGUACUGUUUUUUUUUUUUUCUUACCCCCAUCUCUAAAAUGGUCUGUCCCUACAGCAGAUACAUCUGCUUGAUGUUUCUUUGUUCUAAAUAUUUUUACCUUUUUUUCUCCCACUGAAAGAAACCAAGCAUUCGAGUUCAACGCAUGUCUUGAGCUCUAACCUAUGCCAUAUCUUGCUCUGUGCUGGCUCUUCGGUAUACGAGUUCGUGCUCUCCGUGUCCAUUCCUAGUGAAUUAAUAGCUGGGCGUUAUCCGGCAGUCAUUUUCAGGCCAAUUGUGCUGACCGCUGUGCUUGGCACUUAGAAAUUAGCAUAUACCUCUUGUAUGUACAAGGGGAAAGGGUCUUAGGACUGAAUUCUUUUCCAUUCUGAAAAUCAGCAUAGUCUUGGGGUGCCUGGGUGGCUGAGUCAGUUAAGUGUCCAGCUCUUCUUGAUGUUGGCUCAGGUCAUGAUCUUAUGGUUCCCGACAUCGAGCCCCGUGUUGGGUUGCACACUGAGCGUGGAGCCUGCUUGGGAUUCUCUCUAUCCCUCUCUGCCCCUGCCCCACUCAUGCAUGUGCACGUUCUCUUUCUCAAAAUAAAUAAACUUAAAAUCAGCACACUCUUAAUGUCAUGUCUUAGAAAUAUCAGGAGGGGCUGAUGAGCCCAGAACUUAAGCCAGCAGUGAUAAGCACUUGCAGACAAGGACCAGGCCACCUAGCAGCUGUCUGCUCUUGGGUCAGUGACCACCUCAGUCCACCUCAGUGUUUUUAUCUGUAAAUUGGGGAUGAAAAAUCUCUGCCCUAGAGUAACUAGUUUCUGGAUUAUUGGAGAUGCUCCAUGAGACAUACACAGAGUGGCACCCAGCACAAGAGUAGGGGCUGAAUAGAUGGGGCUCCUAGUCUCCCCCCUUUUCAGGACUUCUACAUCUGUGCAUCUAUCUGUUGCCUGCACAAACCCAUCCUAGAGCCUGUGGGGACAGAGACCAGUAUAACAGGUGUUACAGGUGGGGGAAAAUGGGACACAAAGAGAUUAACAAGUUCCUAGAUCUCACACGAGGAAGACUUAGGUUAAUACAGUUAGCAUGUGAUGGAGUUAAAGGAUAUAUGUGGCCCUCUUCAUUUCUGGUUUUUUUAUUCAUUAUUUAAUAAGCAUUAAUUAAGCACCUACUAUGUGCCAAGCAUAUCAGAGUUGGAUACCACUGCUACACCUAAGUUCAUGGCACAAUUACGCUAAAAUGGCUUUCUGGAUCAUGUCAGCACUCCUAAGGCUUCAGACCCUUCCGUAUAAGCCCUGCCUUGCAAGUAAGGUGUUCAGCCUCUGUUGUACGCAUCCUUUGGAAAGAAGCUAACCUCACAGGACAAUCUUCUCUGCUUCUGGACAUCUUGAGCAAAGCUUGGAUAAGCCUAAACCACUGCCUGUCUUCUUCUCCCUGUUUAGAGUCAUGUCCUCCAAGACCCAGAGCUGAGGCUGAUUGAUUUUCUGAUGAUGUCCUUUCAGGUAAUUAACGGCUGGCUUCAUGGCUGCCUGCAAGGCUUACCUCCGUCAGGCCCAAUGUCUGAAUUCCUCUAGGAAGUGGGAUUCCACGUUUACCAGGAUCUCUGUCUGGGGUGGCAGCACAUGAUCACAAAACCAGCAUAGGACCAUACUCAUGUUCCACUCUGCCAUUUUCUUGCUGUGUGACCUUGAGCCAGUGAGUCAGUCUCUAGGCUCCUCAAAAGGAAGGGGCAGUCACAAUGAUGUUGACCCAGGAUAGUUGAAGGAUUAAUUGAUGUAGCUUUGCAUGAUAGUGCUGUAUGUGUGUCUAGCUGUCCACACGGGCAGCGCUUCUGACUUGAUGGGGUCAGGUCUCAGGUUAUGGAUGAAGAUGCUGACGUACCAUCAGGACACGUGAGCCUCCAACCUCCCAGCCUGGAACGUCUGUUAGAAGGUCAGGGUGAGGCUGGAUCUCAGUGCCCUGUAUGUGCCCUGAAUGACCGGGUGGAAAGUCAGGAUGGCCAGUCUCUGCAAUGCCUGAAUUCCUGCUGUGCACAGGGUGGUACCUGAUGGCCAGACAAUAAGUAGCGUCCUUCCAGUCCGGAGAAAAGGGCCAGCUAACCAAAUGAUCAUAUCCGAAUCUGAGUCCAUAUGCAGGCUGGUAUUUCUCAAAUUUGGAUGUGCUUCAAAGUCUGUCUCCUAGGGAACUUUCAGACCAUGGGUCCCGUGCUUGAAGAUUCAGAUUCUAUAGGUACGGAGUGAGGUCUGUGCACUAUGAGACGGACACAGUUGACUUCAGGGGGCACAAGAGAGCAAACACACCUAACUUCUCAAUACUGGUGAGCUGAGGUCGUAUGAGACCUGGGAUAAAAGGACAUUUUGCCCCUGGAUUGUUUGGUCUUCGUUUUUAGUUUGCUGGGAAAAUAUAAAACCAGUGCCAUUAGGAGGCUUAUCUGAUAGCUUUAAAAAAAAUGCUUCAGUGAAACAGUCUUGCCCUACAGGAAGUGAACAUCUUUGGUUUGCCAAGUUCUAGGCCAGUUGCUAUAUAUGUCACUUCAGUUAGGUGAGCUUUUGCUGCAAGUGACAGGGCUUUAAGCCAUAAGGAGGUAGGGAAGCCCAGGGCCUUUGCAGCAGCUCCACGGUGUCCUCAAGACCCCAGAUUCUUCCCAUCUUUUUAUAUUCUUAGUGUGUUGGCUUUUUGUCUCCAUACUUCUUGCUUCAUGGUUGCAAGAUGGCUGCCAUGGCCCAGGCCAUCUUAUCUUUACUCCAGGGUCUCUAAAGAAAGAUAAAGCAAGGCGAAAAUCCUUUCUCUUCUGGAAGUCCUACCUUUUCAUUGAGAGUAAGAACCUCCACCGCUGUGAACUAUGUCGUCUUUCCUUUGGGGUACUUAGUGCUCUCUGCCCUGCCAACAGCUCUACACAUUAGGCUGCUUUUUGUCACCUGUGUACUUCAUUGCCCACUAUCGUUUUUGGCUCCAGGUGCCCACUUGGUAAAUGCCCUUGACUGGAUUCCUGUAGGUAAUUAGGUAUCCACAGUAAAUUAGGAAGAUUCUUAGCUACUGCAUUUGGAUGGACCUUAGUGGUGGAGUUGUGAUUCCCACGGUGCUGGUUCAACCUGAGGGGCCACCCAACCUGAGGUUGGGUUGAUAAAGCAGGAGGCCAUCACAACACUCAGUGGCGAUGAGCCAGGUAUUAAAGAGGGUUUGAUAUUUCUUCUAAUGAAAAGCACGCAAGAUACCAUUUGAAGUUCAUCUUCCUCCAACUCUUCAGAGAGUUCUUUUUUGGUAGGACAUGGCUGGUAGAAAAGAUACUGGGGAAGUAAAAAAAGAGAGAGAGAGUAGAGAAGAUAUUCACCGUUCCAUGUUUAGGGAGUUGGGUAAGGGAGAUGGAACGUUGUAACUUUUGAUGGUGGGUGUACAAUAAUUGUUGUAGUUGAUGAACCUCUCCACCUUGGAAAGUAAGGGUAUAAGACUAAAGAAUUUCACAAAUGUAAAUACUGAAUAUAGUGCCCCAUAUUUAGUAGACAUGUAUUAAAUUAUCUGCUAUUAUUAAUCUUGGAAACUGUAUGAGAUUUGACCCUCUGAAACCCACAAUUUGAAGGAGAAGAAAGGAGGUACAUUAAUUACUCUGUGCAAAGAUCUAUUGCUAGAACUUUUCUUUUUAUUCCUCCAAUAGACUGAGAUCGAUAUUAAUAUACUGAUUUUACAGAGCAGAAAAUUUGGGGGCCUCGGAAAGAUUAAGCUAUUUGUUCAAGUCCAGAAAUCGGUUUGAUUUAUUUUGUUUCCUUUACUCUUAAGAAACUAGAACUUUCUAUCUCCUGGACUUCCUUCUCUUCUCUUUGUAUACUAAUUAAUCAAAUAGUCAAUUAACCCACUGUUCAAUUAAAAAUACAGCAGAUGAGGUCUGGGGAUGCAGAGAUAUAGUCACAGGCUUGCUCCCAUGCAGCUGUUUAGUUGUUCAAGCUCAGAAGUAUCUUGGCACCAAAGCUGUUCUUCUGCUCUUCCAUAUGGGAACUGCGUUUCUGCCUACGGACGUCUAGCCCUGCUCUAGGGUAGGGUAUGACUUGUCUUUUAGGAACACCGGCUCAUUCUCCCUCCUCUCCUUUCUGGGCCUUCUCUCUCCUCUCAUUUUUCCCUCUUGCAGUUACAGUUCCUUUCACCCACAUAGUCAGUCACUUUCUCUUUGUGUUGGCACUUUCCUUGAAUGGGGUCAGCAUCUGGGCAGAUGGUUGUACCUUCCACAGAGGAGCCAGGGGACCGCAGACUCUGUGGCACUCAGAAGCUGGGUCAGGAGGUGUCACAUCAGAUACAGGGGCAUGUUAAGUCAUCUUGAUGGUGGAGAAAUGGCGACAGUGGUUCAAGUUGACGCUCAUCUUUGAGGUGGUCUCUGAGCUGCCCACCAUCCCAGUACUUCUCACCAAGAAAGAGUCAUGUCAGGAUUGAUCUCCCUGAAGGUAAAUGUCCCCUGGUGCUCCCACCACAUCACCUACUUGGGUCUUUGGAGCCCCUGCCACGUGUCAGUGUCAUUGUCACUGAGCCAAUGUUUGUCAACGUGCAUUCUGAGGACCACCAGCCUAGAAACAUGUGGGGCUUCCUUAGGAAAACAGAUUUCCAGGUCCAGGUCCCCAGACCUACCAGGAUUUGACCUUGAGAUCCAUAUUUUUACCCAACUUCAUGGGUCACACGGAUGCAAUCUUUGGGUCAUGCUUUGAGAUAGGCUUCUUCACUCAACUGUGAGCUGCAUGGGAGCAAGUCUGUGACUGUAUCUGUGCAGUCCCAGCACCUUGCCUGAUUAUUUUUUUAAUUGAAUGGUGGGCUAAUUGAGUAUUUGAUUAAUUAGUAUACAAAGAGAAGAGAAAGGAGUUCAGGAAAUGCAAGUUUCCUGAGAGUAAAGGAAAACAGUAUAAAUCAGUUGCCCUGAAAGAUCAGAACGGCCUUUGCAACUUAAGAACUUGUGUUCAGCGUUUUCCGUGUGAACUCUUCCUGGGGCCCCAUUGUCGCUGCUCUCCCUGGAUCGUGUCAAGCCAGACCCUUAUGUGGGGAAUUUACCUGUAUUGUGAACAGACGCCUGCACUGGGCUUUACUCAUCUGAUGAGUGCUUCCGGACCCUAAGUCUGGUUUGGGCAUUACCUUCUCCUGAAGCACAUUCUGUUUUUCUCCAGAUCAAGCAGGGUCAGUCUCUCCUUUACUUCACUGCCAUCUCUUUCUAAAACCGGCCUCCUCAAGAGCUUUGCUUUGUGUUAUUUAAAAUGUUCACAUCUCCCUUAUUAGACUAGAAGCCCUUGAAGACCGAGAACUUCAUGUGCUGUGUACAUAGUAGGCACAUAAAUCCUUCCGGAAUAAAUGGUUAAUGAAGUGACCAGGUUCUGAUACCAGCUCUGCUUCUUAGGAACUAGCUGACUUCAUCUCACUGCGUCUGAUUUUCCUGAAUAUCAGAAAAUGAAUAAUUAAGCGGUGGAUCGUGCUGUGAAUGGAGGAGAUACUAAAAGACGGACUUGGGGCUCUUUAUUAUCAUUUGUAAUACAUAGCAGAGAGAGCAAUUACUUUAGCUCAUCUUCCAAAGUUGGAAAGAUAUUAGUUAACUUUGCUUUGACUUUUUUCCCCUCGUAGUAAUUUUUUAGCAGGCAUUCAUUCAUGGGGUCUUUAUUGUAUUGGGUAAGCCCGUAUCUUUUUCUUCUUUUUUUUCUUUAGCAGCUUUAUUAAGAUAUAAUUCACAUACCAUAAAAGUUGCCCUUUUAAAGUAUGUAGUGCAGUGAUUUUUAGCAUAGUCAAACAUUCAAAGAGUUGUGCAACUAUAUCAGAACUUUUUAAUUUUAGAACAUUUUAAUCACCCCAAAAUAGAUACUUCUCAGCCUUUUGUGGUCACUCCCCAUCAUUCCUCACCCUGCCAGCUCAUGGCAACCGCUAGCCUACUUUCUGCAUCUAGAAUUCACCUAGUCUGUUUCAUAUAAAUAGAAUAAUACAUUAUGUGAUCUUUUCUGGCUUCUUUUGCCUAGCAUGUUUUUAAGGUUCAUCCACGUUGUAGCAUGUAUCAGUACAUCAUUCCUUUUUAUGGCCAAGUCCUCUUCCAUUGUAGGGUUAUACCCCAUUUUUUAAUGCAUUCAUCAGCUGGUAGACAUUUGGGUUGUUUCCACUUUCUGGCUCUUAGGAAUAAUGCUGCUAUGAAUAUUGCAUAGCUCGUUUUUGUGUGGACAUGUAUUUUCAGCUCUCUUGGGAAUAUACUAAACAGAAGGUCUGUUUAAUAUUUUGGGGAACUGCCAAACUGUUUUCCAAAGUGUCCCAUUUGCAAGCCUGUAUCUUAGACCUAGCCUUUCGUGUGCUAAGAAUACCAACGCCCGUGUCUUCGUUGAAAGCCAGCUAAUCAGACAGGUGAAACACAGGUGACGAAUGUGGAACAAAGAGCUGCAGACUGCUCCAUCACUGCAGCCACUCUGAGGCCCAGUUCAGACACAGUGAGUGGGUCCAGUGUGAUGGGAAAAGACACAGAGGAUCCAGGGCUUAGGGGUCGCCUUGGGACAGAUGAAGUUGUUUAGCCGUGAGGCAAAGGCAGGAUGGUAUCUAAAAGGUAAAUUUCCAUGACGGGUGCCUGCAUCCUGAUCACACAUCAUGUAUCACUUAUAUUUGUUUUUCUUUCUCUUCAGUGGCAUGCAGCAGAAUUGCUUGAGAGGCUAUUUCCUGCAGCUUUCGGCUUCCGUCUCUCUACUUUGUACAAUAGUUACAAUCAAGGUUCAUAAUACCUCCAAUCUCUUACCGGAGGUCACACCUUCUAUGCUGCAAAUCGUGCUGAUACCAUGGCCCUGAGGUGGCCACUGAUUUGCCCAGGAGACUGUUUUUCAUUGAAGGUGUUUUCUCUGGGCCUCCAUCCUAAAGGAUUAAGCAGAGCCUGUUAGAGCCGGCAGGUCAAGGGUCCCUCUGUUCUUGAUGGCAGAGCAGGUAAUGAGACCUUCUGCAGUACGGGGUCAGCUCUGACUCUUGUCCUCCUUUCUCCCUGCCCUAAUUAUUAUUUGUCUCAACUGAGGUAGGACUUUCAUCUUUAUGACAACACCACACUCUCUAAUGGAAAGAUUCUAAACAAAAGAUUAACAAGCAUUUAGACCCUUCCUAAACCAGAAGGUCUGUGUGCUAAAUCGACAAAUGCAAAACCACCUCAGUGGUAGCAGCCUUACUGCAUUUCAGACAGAAUUCCCUGGGGUCCCUCUUGCCAGGUUUCUUUGCCACAACAAACUACCUCUACCAGAGAUAAAUUCCCCUGUAGAGACACUGGAAGAGAAAGGGCUCUCUGGACCAUGCCUAGUGACAGUGGGCUGAGCUUUUCUUAUGGCUUCUGUUUGAUUUGAAGGUGUUCUGUUUUGUUUUAGCUUUACCUUGUGAUUUUUGGUAGAUCAGUGACUCCAGCCAACCAGGAAGCAGGAGUGGCUUUUCAGACCUCUAGGAGGCUCACGUCUGUAUUGGAAUGAGAGAAAGGUUUGACUGAAAGGCUUUUGGGAUGAAGGCAGUUGUCUGGCACCCGAACUCACUCUGGAAGGGUGCAUGUUGGAGGGAACGAGAGAACACGGAACGGGAUGAUGACGCAGACGUUCUGGGGUCCCAGGGUUGCGUUGGUAGUUUCCCAGGUUCAAGUAAACACAUUUUACAUGGGACCCUAUACUUGGAGCAUUAGAGAUUUUAGAAGAUGAUGAGGGCACAAAGAAAAAUAAGUACGUUAGAAAGGAAAUGGCAUGAGCAGUUGCCAGGGAUGAGAGAGUAAAAGGAAGUAGCUACAGUUUUGAAAGCAAUGGACAGUAUCAGGGAGGUGUUUGCAGUCAGAUGGGACAGGUCAGGUUCCUGACUGCUGGGUAGUUAGUUGACUCUCCGUGUAUGAUAAAGUGGUACAGAGCUAUUCACACAGUGUGCCAACAUCAGUAUCCUGGUUGGAUAUCGUACUGUCCUUAAUGUCAGACAUCACCAUGGGAGAAAUUGUGUGAAGGGUACAUGGGACGUCCCUGUGCUAUAUUGCAACAUCUAUAAUUAUUUCAAACCAAAAAAGGUUCUGUUUUUGUUUUUGUUUUAACUUGGGAGGAAAAAAAGGAAAUAGUACUGCAAGCAGAAAAAAAAGUAAAUGAUGCGAUGGACAGGGCAAAUAAUGUCCUAGCGUCUAACUAGGUGUAACCUCUGUUGCGCUUCUGACAAAUAGUGUCAUUUCAAACCAGAAGGCAGCCCCUGGUGGCUUGUGUGGUGUCCAUCGUCAAGAUUCCCCAAGAGGAAAUUGUUUGGCUCAUGUCACACACAAGGGACUAAUCUCAAAAUUGUAUGCUAAGAACUCCUAGAAAUUAACAUGAAAAAGACCAACAACUAUGGUCAAAGAAUAUGAACACAUCAUUCACAGAGGAAGAAAUACAAGUGGUUCCUAAACAUAAAAAAGAGACUCAACCUCUCUCUCAAAAAUUAAAAAAACAAACAGUUAUGCAUAUAAGACUAUACUGAGAUACCACUUUUAAAAUCUGAGAUUUGCAAAGAUCUGUAAAUUUCUUUAACACAUUCUGUUGACGGAGCUGUGGGAAAGCGGCCCUCUCAGGCUUUUCUGGUGGGAGUAUGAACGGGCGACUCGGCAGAACUGACAAAAUUCCUGGAACACAGAAAAUUCAUUUUGUCCUUCCCCAGUGAUACAGUUAUAGCUGGAGCAUGGCUAAGCAGCCAAGGGCUACCCUUCCCAGCAAUGUGUCUGCUGCAACUCAGCAGUAGGAUGCGAAUUAAAAACGUGCCUGUGUAUGCGUGUGCGCGCAUGCACAUUUGCAGAAAUAGCCACAAGUUCCUUCCUUCCCUGUGCGCAUGCCCUGCACCACGGCUUUGCAGCCCCGCCCAUCAAGAGGAGGAGUUUGUCUUUACUUCCUGAAUCUGGGCUGCUCUUAGCACUUGUUUUGGCCCAUGGGAUGGGAGCAAAUUCAACCUGAGCAGGGACUGGAAAGCUUUGGGGCUCACCCCUCUGCUGCCUUCUGCUGUGACGUGAACACACUUGGGCCAGCCUGCCAGAGGGUGAGAGACCAUGCGAAGAGAAGUCCCUGUCGCCUGAGCUGCCUUAUGAGGGUUGCAGAGGCCAUCACGUAGUAGCCAACCCCAGCUGAUCCACGAGCCAACUACAGAUGCUGAGCAAACUCAGCCAUGAGACCAUGCGUGGUCCACCUGCAUGUUGAAGCCAGUACGUCUUGGGGUGAUUUGUUACACAGCAGUGCGGGUCCCAGUGUGUUCUUUCCGAGACAAGUUCUCUAAGAACCGCAUAUGCCCUGUCAUGCUCUCUCUUCACCAUUUCAUCAUCAUUCCUGAGAUAACUCAUAGUUCAAUCUCAUCUUCAGUUAGGCAGGCAGUACCAGCAAAUAUUCAUCAAGACUCUACUUGGCAAGUGCUAAGGACUCAAAGUCAGAUGCUCUGGCUUCCGGAAGCUUACCUUCCAGCAAGAGAUAAAUAGAAACAGUUAUUUCAGGUGCUGGCAAGUGCAGUGAUGGGAGUAAAUUGGGAAGGUUGGGAUGCCCUCCCUCAGUUGACAAGGAGGGAAGUGUAGGGCACUUAGCGCUCAGUGCUUGCCUUUCACAAAUGAGCGAAGUAAGUCACAAAGUGAUAGCUCGUGUUUUGCACAGUAAUCCCGUGAAUUUCCUGCAGCCUGUGUUUCACAGAGCAUUACAGAAACCAGGACAGAAAUACAGAGAAAACCAUAGGGAGUCCAGCAGAGCAAACCCAGGAUUAGGACUCCACUGUGGACUGCAGAAGCAGUCGGAGAGUGGACUGUGCUUCAGCCUAAUGCACAGGGAGUAGCUGGACAUGUGUCAGGGGCAGCGUGAGUUGGAGAUGACAGUUCUGAACUGCUGCGCUCUGCAGAGAGAGGUCUGAGUUCCCUGCAUGCUUGUUAGAAAUGCAGAAGCCCGGAGGAUGUUCCUUGCACAAUUGUGGGAUCCAGAAGACUACAUUUUAUCACCCCUGUGUGCAGGGCUCAGGCUCACAGCAGUUUAAGAACUACUGAAAUUGAUGAAUCACGGUCUCUUACAAGAGAGACAAGCCUCUCGACAAGGGAAAGCCAGCUGGAGCAACUUUUUAACCCAAGGAAAAGAAAAUGCUCUUUAAAUAAAUACCAAGAAAUAAAUCCCCCUUUCCUUCAGAACACAACUUGGAAAUGUUGUCUUUUAUGUCCGACAUUAAAAACAAUGUGGGCUAGUGAUGUAGCCAUCCCAGAUCAGGCCUCUGAAGAAAUGAGUUGUUUCUUUUCUUCCCCCCUUGUUCUUUACUUCUAAAAUAUUGUUUCUUCUUUUGGUUAAAUGACGGACUUCAGUAGAGCAGAGAAGAUGUAAAAAUAGCAACUAUUUAGAAGAAAUUUGGGAAGGGAAUCAUCAAUUUUUUUUUUUUUAAUGUAGGAAGUAAAGUCCUCAGGGGUGGGAGAUGGGGAGCCUAGUUUGUGAUAUGGAACGUGAAAGAUGUGCCCUUUGCCCCAUGAAUGAAACCUGAAGGGUCUGGCUGGGGCUUCCUUUUAUCAGCUCAGGUAACCUGCCUCAGGACCUGGAUGGAGCUUCAGGUGAGUUUUAGAGGUAACAGUGCCCCCUGCUGGCGUGAGUGGUUUUUAACAUUAGAACUUGCAAAAUCCUGGGCCCUCUGUGUCUGGGGUAGAAUCUGUGCCUUAGCCAUCCACCUCCCAGAGUUCCCCGGUCUCCUUGGGGUGAACCUCUCUCUAGAGCACACGUGUCCUCCUGACGUGUGGGCAGCUCAGAGGCCUUCAGGGUUUUGCCAGAGAUCAGUGUGCAGGAGGAGUUGGAUUUUCACUCAGCAGCUUAGGCAUAUCCGUGGGAUUUCAUUCUUCCUGUGGAAGCCAAAGUCCCUUUAGACUGUGGUAUCAGGUGGCCGCAAGUGAAACCUUUUAUUUUCCUUUUCCUAAAACACGUUACAGCCAGCUGACUAAAUGGAAUUUUUCUUCGUGUCUGUUCUUGCUAGGUAUAUCAGAUUAUUACCAGAAUUUUAAACCUUGUCUAGUACCCCCAGCCGUAUCCCUUUGUCUGAAUCAGUCUCUUAGGGACCCUCCCAGGAAAUAGCUGGCACUCUUUUUACCGUGGACUGUCAGCCUCAUUUCUCACACAUCGACCCCUGUCCUGGAGAACUGUCCGUGGCCUGCUGACUUAGGAGGGUCCCUGUGGGUAGAACUUAUGUGGGAUCCUGUUAUGGUCAACACUAGUGGAGAAGGACCCGUCGGCCAGCAUUCCAUGUCCUGAGCCUACCACUUACCGGCUGUGUGAUUUGGGCAGGUGGUUUAACUUAAUUGGGCCUCAGUCUCCUCAUGUAUAAGAUGGGGAUGACAGUAACAGAAUCUAACUCAUAUGGUUAGUGUGACCAUCCAGUGAGGUAAUAAUAUAUGUUACGUGUUUAGAACAGUGAUUAACAAAAGAUGCUCAGUGCACAUUUGCCAUUGUUCCAGCUCCUUCACUUAAAGGCCCGAAGUUCUCCUGUGGUUGUCUUCUUGGCCAUAAAAACAGCCUUAAGUCCUAUCCUGAAUCCCACUGCCUUGGGAAGAGAGAGCCCCAAGUAAUAAAAAGUCUAUCUAAAGAUGCUUUGCUCAGUAACGGAGAGUUCGCUUUCCCGUAGCUCAGGUUGUACCGCCUCAGGAUUACCAGGCAGUGCUUAUUCACAAUUAAGGAAACUAUGCAGGGGAAGAAAGAAAAAAAAGCCACAUGCUACCUUCAAGAACUGGAGAUUUUCAUCACUUCUUUUGAAUUAUUCACACUCCGUAUUCCCCUUAUUAAUGCAGAUAAUAAAGAGUUGGCAACAUUUUGGAGGUCUGGGCCCCAACACAAGAGUGUUUGUUUUCUUUUUAAAGCUCCAGUAAACAUUAAAAAAAAAAAAAUGAUGGUGCCCCCCCCCCCCUUGUGGACUUCUGUGGGGUUCUUGUCAUCACUGUCUAGUAAGUGGGAGAGAAAAGGGCUUAAACAGGACAAAGUGGGGAGCACUUCCCCCAGUGAUACAGGCACUGGUCUUGAGGGUAACGUUGGCCGGUCCUCUGUGGAUGGUGUUGUGAGCAGCAGAUUGACUGUGUAAUUUGUGGAGCCCAUUGCAAAAUUACACGUAAGACCUCCUCUUUCUAGAACUGUUAGGAAUUUCAGAAUGGUGACAGCAGAGUGUUAAUCCAAGUGCAGCUUGGGUUUUUUGUGGCUAAAUGGGUCAUAAGACCAUGAGGCCAGCCCUGGAAGGGUGCUGGGAUGGGGGCUUAUCCCCUAUGCUUGCCACACUUUGAGCAUCUGGAUGUUUGCUGUGUCUCCAUCACAGUGUGCACAUACCUGCCUCAUGGCUUUUACUUGCUGUCCCUCUGCCUGGAAGUCUGUGCCCCCAGGUCACCCUAGGGCCCACCUAGGUUCCUGCUCAGACGUCACCUUAGCAGAAGGGCCUUCCCUGAGCACCUUCCUCCAAAUAGCACUCCCUGCCUUUGCAAACACUCUCCCUUACACCCUUUGCCUCAAAGACCUGACUCUCUCCAUACAUAUGGUUCAUCAUUAUUGCUGUUCUUACCCCAGUGAAGUGUAAGCUCUUGGAGGGCUGGGACUCGAUCCGAGCUGCUCACUGCUCUGUGUAUUCUGUAGGGCUCGCCCAGUGCCAGUCACACCUUUGUUGCUUGGUAUGUGUGGAGUGCCUGUGUGGGGAUGCUUUUUGCCCUCUGGCAAAGCCAAACCAGGUGUGAGGGUUCAAGAGAGGGCCGAGGGUUUGCUCUUGACUCUGCCUGCUUUUAUCAGUGAUCUGCUCAGGCAGAAGCAUUUCUUCCUCUUGGUCUCCAUGAGUCUGAUUCAGACUCUGUGCCAUUUGUAAGAUUCAGGACCUUGACUAUGAAACAGAAAACGGGUGUUGGCACGUAAGAGGCCAAAGUCGCCACUGAAUUUUAAGAAUCUGCUGAAACACACUACUUCCUGCCAUUGAGUUUGCAGCUGUGGUGUGGGACGGUUCUGAGGUCAGACAUGCUGGAGGGAGUGGGGGAUUAAACAUAAGGUGACCUGGCUUUUGACUUCAGGGUUCUCAGAGCCCUGUGUGUGCUGACAUGCACUGAAUUUCACAAACUUAUUCAUUCAUUUCACCAAGUAUCUCAGGGCACCGUUCAUCUGUGAAGUACACAUCGGGACACCCUGGUGUUUUGGCAAAUGCCUGUUCCUGGACUCUGCACUCCCUUCCAGGCAGAUUAAGUCAGGAGACCCCCACCUCCUUACCUGGGCUCUUCAGUCUACAAAACAAGGAUGGCAUUUCUAAUUUUAUUAUUGAAUGUGUGCUGAGUGAGCCCAGAAUUCUUGUCCAGCUGCAGCGCUCUGGAAAAGACAGUCCUGGCUUUCUAUUCUCUAAUUGCUGUCGAUAUUCCUUCCUUCAUUCAGCCAGCCAGCAGAUGUAUGCUGAGUACCCGUCAUGUGCUAGGGAUUCUUUGAGCCCCUCAAAAAAGAGCAGUGAAACCAAACCACAUCUCUGCCUUUUGGAACAUACCUUUUCAUAGAUGUCCAGGAUGAGCCACUGGCAUGGAUAGAUUUGCUAUCUCUCAAGGUCUCGAUGCCUCAAUUAGCACUGGAAAAGCCACUCAUAAUGGUGUGAAAGAAGGAACGUUUAGGCCCAAAGUCUAGAGACCUGAAUUACCAUCCAGGCCUCACCACCGACAAAAGUGGCUUUGAGAUCAAGAGUUUACCCUCUGAAGUCACACCAUACCAGGUUCAAUCUCGGCUGUGCUGUUUGCUGACCCCUUGAGCAAACAACUUCUCAAUAUCAGCUGGUAGUUUUCACAUGCCGUAUAGGGCCAGGCACACCACCUGCUGCCAAGGAAAUACUGCACGUCAAUUCCUUAGCGCAGUGCCUGGUUCCUGUGUGCACAUGAUGCUUUGUCCAUUCAUGUUGUUUGAACCCUCUCUGAACUUAGGCCUCUUGCUUUGGACUUUGGCUGUCCCUUUCUAUAAGACCAAGUGUUUGUUUCAGCUCGACAUGGGUCUGUUUCAGACUCAGUUUAAGUAGUAUUGGACCUGGGAUGAUUGUCUCUCCUCCACAUAUAUACUGGGGCAACUAAAAUAUGGCAGUAUGAGGUCUCUAUAUCUGUGCCUGUAUACAGAUACGUAUCAUAUAUGUGUACGUAAGUAUACAUAUAUGUACAUAUGCCUUAUCAUGUGUGUGUGUGUGUGUGUGUGUGUGUGUGUGUGUGCGCAAAGAACCUCAGCUUGUAGGUCUAUAGAGCUUUUCUGUUUCUGUCGUUGCAGUCUGUAGUCCGUAUCCCAGCUCCUGAGCGAUGAUGCAUUUUCACAUAUGGGGGAGUGCUCCAGGGUCAGAGAAAUUAAUUUCUGCCCAUUCCAGUGCAAGGAUUCUAUCAAUCCUUGUGUGGUCCAUGGGGAUUUUUAUUAAUUUCCUCUUUUGCACGUACUUUAUUUCUGUUUAUUCUGCUCUCCUGGAUCUGUCAUCAUUCUGCUUACCGUUAACUAGUUUCCUGGAGCAGAAACAUCUUCUUGCUGCUGGUCUCCGUCAUCUGCAUGCCAAUUCUACGAUUCAGGAGCCUGGCCAUACAACUGUAUGAAAUAGGAACCAAAAGGUUCUGGAAUUGCCCCAUGCUCAGUAAUACUCAGAUUUCACAAGGGUUAGCCCAUUUAGCACACAAAGGAAUCUCAGCCAAAAUUUAGACAUGGGUAGCUUUUCCUAUUACCUUGAAAUUAGUCUCGAUUACCCUUAAAUUAUUGAAGAUUGACCGCCAUGCAAAGUGGUUUCUCCUUUCAUUAAUCUCACUAAAUGGCUGCAUUUGUUACAAAUCUUUUUUCCCCCCCUCUCCAGCACGAUUCCUUUUCUCAGAAAGGCUCUUCUGCAGUACCUUUCUUUUACAUUCCUUACUUUUGUUUGAGCAUUUUGAUUAAUGGUCACACCAGAGCACAUCCUGACAGCCCUGCUUCUCACCUAUGUUUCUCCAGCAAAACGUCUGAAUGCAAUGUGUGCAUCUUCCAGGAUCCUUGGGUGUUAGGUGCCACUGCCCCCCUCCCCAUUGCCCCCCCCCC
This is a long non-coding RNA of Felis catus (domestic cat), 26950 nucleotides long. RefSeq lists it as uncharacterized. Lineage: Eukaryota; Metazoa; Chordata; Mammalia; Carnivora; Felidae. The transcript is spliced from 2 exons. The record is from RefSeq and is a predicted model, not a curated record.